UCCCUGUUAGUUUAGCUAGUAAAGAAUCUGCCUGUAAUGCAGGAGACCCGGUUUCAAUUCCUGGGUUGGGAA
This 72-nucleotide transfer RNA is filed under the name Ovis aries (sheep). It matches the Rfam family "tRNA". From Rfam's summary of the family: Transfer RNA (tRNA) molecules are approximately 80 nucleotides in length. Their secondary structure includes four short double-helical elements and three loops (D, anti-codon, and T loops). Lineage: Eukaryota; Metazoa; Chordata; Mammalia; Artiodactyla; Bovidae. The record is from Rfam by way of RNAcentral.